Molecule: small RNA, 463 nt
Filed under: Pongo abelii (Sumatran orangutan)
Lineage: Eukaryota; Metazoa; Chordata; Mammalia; Primates; Hominidae
Description: retained intron
Source: RNAcentral
UAGAAACGAGGCCUGGAGAACACCUUGCACGAUGCCAAGCACUGGCAUGACAUGGAGCUCCAGAACCUGGGCGCUGUGGUCGGCCGGCUGGAGGCGGAGCUCAGCGAAAUCCGCGCGGAGGCGGAGCAGCAGCAACAGGAGCGCGCACAUCUGCUGGCCCGCAAGUGCCAGCUGCAGAAGGACGUGGCGUCCUACCACGCCCUGCUGGACAGGGAGGAGAGCGGCUGAUGGAGAAACUCUUCCUCUUUUCAUGAAGAAAACACCCUUCCUCACCAGCUGACCCAUGAAGUUGCUUGAGGAGCUUUCUCCUGAGCUCCAGUCCCUGCUGGAUUCCCUGGUUAAUUCAGCUUGAGCUGAAAAGCUUCCUGGAAGUGGAGAGGAUCCUUCUGCUUUAAUCUGAGUAGUCUGUAGCUUGAGCAAUCUCUCUUGUCCUCCUUCAAAUAAAUGCUUUGUGCGCAGCGUC